UCGUGCGAGGCUAACUAGAAUUAGGGAAGCAAAGUGCAACACCUCAACGCCAUGGUCCACCAGGUUGUGUCUCUCCACGUGCGACAGACAGCUUCGUAAAGCCUUAGGCCUAAAGCCUCGCUACCCUGACAACAACCGGCAUCCAAAAACAACGCCCAAAAUGAGCGCAAAACAGGCAGCCGCGAGGAGACGUCAGCUCUGUGAGGUGGUCCUACUCCGCUCGGUGCACACAGCAUCCGAGUUGACGGCGCCCACCGUCCCAGACGGUGUCGGAGCGCCCGGUGCCAGACCGCAAUACCAGUCAGCCCGUAGUGGCACCCGUGGCCCGCGGCCACCCGGCUCCCUGAGCCGCGACUUCAUCCGAGUCAAAGAGAUAGAAGAAGCUAUUUACAUAAGAAAUUCGGACCACCCACGAGGCUUCCGUACUCGCUUCAGGCUUGCCACUGCUCCGCGGGCGCUCAGCCUCGCUCUCCCAGGAUGCAGACCACGUGGCUCUCGUACCAACGAAUGCCAUUAAAAAAAAAAAACACUUGCGAAAAGGCUUAGCAUGUUGACAUGUUCAAACACACUACAGCCACCGCCGCCUCGC
Molecule: long non-coding RNA, 589 nt
Filed under: Dermacentor andersoni
Lineage: Eukaryota; Metazoa; Arthropoda; Arachnida; Ixodida; Ixodidae
Description: uncharacterized LOC126547946
Source: RNAcentral